UACGUAGGGCGCAAGCGUUGUCCGGAAUUAUUGGGCGUAAAGAGCUCGUAGGCGGCUUGUCACGUCGGGUGUGAAAGCCCGGGGCUUAACCCCGGGUCUGCAUUCGAUACGGGCAGGCUAGAGUGUGGUAGGGGAGAUCGGAAUUCCUGGUGUAGCGGUGAAAUGCGCAGAUAUCAGGAGGAACACCGGUGGCGAAGGCGGAUCUCUGGGCCGUAACUGACGCUGAGGAGCGAAAGCAUGGGGAGCGAACAGG
Molecule: ribosomal RNA, 253 nt
Filed under: uncultured bacterium
Lineage: Bacteria
Description: partial 16S ribosomal RNA
Rfam family: Bacterial small subunit ribosomal RNA
Source: RNAcentral